Molecule: ribosomal RNA, 253 nt
Filed under: uncultured bacterium
Lineage: Bacteria
Description: partial 16S ribosomal RNA
Rfam family: Bacterial small subunit ribosomal RNA
Source: RNAcentral
UACAGAGGGUGCAAGCGUUGUUCGGAAUUAUUGGGCGUAAAGGGCGCGUAGGCGGUGCCACAAGUCACCUGUGAAAUCUCCGGGCUUAACUCGGAGCCUGCAGGCGAAACUGUGGUGCUGGAGUGUGGGAGAGGUGCGUGGAAUUCCCAGUGUAGAGGUGAAAUUCGUAGAUAUUGGGAAGAACACCGGUGGCGAAGGCGGCUCACUGGCUCAUAUCUGACGCUCAGGCGCGACAGCGUGGGGAUCAAACAGG